RNAcentral lists this ribosomal RNA (253 nucleotides) under uncultured bacterium. RNAcentral describes it as "partial 16S ribosomal RNA". It matches the Rfam family "Bacterial small subunit ribosomal RNA", at positions 524 to 776 of the family's 1533-position model. The record is from RNAcentral.
UACGAAGGGUGCAAGCGUUACUCGGAAUUACUGGGCGUAAAGCGUGCGUAGGCGGUUUGUUAAGUCCGUUGUGAAAGCCCUGGGCUCAACCUGGGAAUUGCAGUGGAUACUGGCGAGCUAGAGUGCGGUAGAGGAUGGUGGAAUUCCCGGUGUAGCGGUGAAAUGCGUAGAGAUCGGGAGGAACACCAGUGGCGAAGGCGGCUACCUGGACCAGCACUGACACUGAGGCACGAAAGCGUGGGGAGCAAACAGG